Long non-coding RNA from Triticum aestivum (bread wheat), 967 nucleotides. RefSeq lists it as uncharacterized. The transcript has 2 exons. The record is from RefSeq and is a predicted model, not a curated record. Lineage: Eukaryota; Viridiplantae; Streptophyta; Magnoliopsida; Poales; Poaceae.
UGUUCGUGAUCCCAAUCCCUCGCCGGCGCCGGAGCCCUCGCCCUCCUCCGCCUAUUUCCCCCAUCUCUCUUCCUCCCCACUAUGCGACCGGGCAAGAUGACCGUGCGCGCAUCGAUGGAUGCGUUGGCGUCGUAGCUUCCCGCCACGGCCACGGCUCAAUGAGGAAGCGGGAGGAGGAGAAAUCCGGCGGUCACUGUGGACAUGUGCAGCUGUGGAAAGCUCAAGUGAUGCAUGCGGAUGGUACAAAGAAUCAAGCCUGGAAGUUAAUUUGGAGCUUGCCUUGUCCAGGUAAAGUAAACCAUUUUAUUUGGAGGCUUGCAUGGGACAGUCCAUUGACCCAGAAGAAUGUUUGAAUGUGAGGCAUUGAUGAUGAUCCCUUAUGCUCUGUAUGCCGAAGACAGAACGAAUAUGGUGGAACACCUCACCUGUUCUUGAAAUGUAAUCAUGUCGAAAUGCAGUGCUCCUUGAAGAAGAAAGGCAGAAUCUCUCACGAGGUGCAUCUCAGUUAAACAGACUGCCAAUCACAUUUUGGAAAAAAGAGGCAGGUGUGGCUACGAAUGAAGCUGGCCACUUCCAUGUGGCUUCAGCGGUCUGACCCGCAACUCGGGGACGCAGUCGAUUCAGUCCAAGACUUUUCAGAUACAAAACACUUUCUCUGAAUUCAGUUAACAUCGUCUGAUGGUAAAAAAAUCCAUAUGCCCGUUCCUGCCAGCUCCUGGUAUGGUUGUUUGCUGGAGCAAGCGGGGGGCUUUGAUCGGCACAUGUGGAUCAAUUGUCCUGAAGCUCGACCAGGCUCUGCAACAUACAUGCCGUGCAGCAUAUAUUGUUGAUUCAGUAGUCAGAGACUCAGGGCUGGGAUUGGUGAAUGGUGAUGACCAUGUAAUUUGUUUGGGCGGGCAACUUUAUCUCCUGUCGUUGUUUCAUGCCGGUGAUUUUUAGAAGAUAAUGGAAUCUGCUUUUUUUUUCA